Phaeosphaeriaceae sp. PMI808 is the source of this 88-nucleotide non-coding RNA. NCBI's taxonomy places the organism in Eukaryota, Fungi, Ascomycota, Dothideomycetes, Pleosporales, Phaeosphaeriaceae. The record is from the annotation of a GenBank genome assembly.
GGUUGAUUAGCUCAGUUGGUCAGAGCGUGGUGCUAAUAGCAAUUGCUAGAAAACGCCAAGGCCGCGAGUUCAAGCCUCGUAUUGACCA